Molecule: long non-coding RNA, 800 nt
Filed under: Cyclopterus lumpus (lumpfish)
Lineage: Eukaryota; Metazoa; Chordata; Actinopteri; Perciformes; Cyclopteridae
Description: lncRNA (ENSCLMG00005013071.1)
Source: RNAcentral
CGGCGUGUUCAUCUCACAGCAACAGCGCUUUCUGCCCACAGGCAGAAACCUGUUUCAGGGACACACCUCCAUGCCGGCACCCGGGGGUUCGAGUCCCAGGACGGUGGAGAACCGGAGGCGCAUCUUGAGCCUGGAGCCGUUUCACCAGAGCAGCAUCAGCAGCAGCCGGCUGAAGAGAGAGAGGGAGGAGGAGAGGACGGGAAACCCCAACAAGAAGACCAAGCUCACCGGCGACUCGACCCUUGAGGAUGUCAGGAAACUCAAGGUCUGCAUUGAGCUUAACGGCCUUAGACUCAACAAGCCCCGCCUCCCCGGGGAGCUCAGCCAAUGGCUGCCCUCCAGCCAGAGAUCAGUGGAGGUCGACUGGAAGUUCAACAGGGACGAUGCUGUGGUCGGGGUGAGGUCAGAGGUCAACGGAGGCUGGUGUGGCCCCACGUCUGUCAGGAGGGGCGACCUGAGAGUUUUCCACAUGGCCCCGCCCUCCUCUCUCGCUCACCCAUGCAGCUCCGCCCCCCGGCAACCUUCCCCUGCAUCCUUCACCUCCCUCGCCUCCUCCCGCCUCCAGGACAAGCAUCAGAAGCUGAGGGAGAGCCGCAGGGUCUCCAGUUUUCUCCCUUCCUUACUUCCUCUUCCUCCUCCGUCCUCUUCGUCCCUACCUGACCGCCCCCCCUUCCAUUGCCACGCCGAUGACCUCAACAAGCCGAAGGGCAAGCGACCCUGCAAGCUGAAGCACACUGAGGGGGAGACGGGGGGGGAGGAGGGAGACGGGGGAGGACGUAACGAUGAGACAGGUGGUAAGG